UACAGAGGGGGCAAGCGUUAUUCGGAAUCAUUGGGCUUAAAGCGCGUGUAGGCGGCUUGGUAAGCGUCCCGUGAAAUCUCACUGCUCAACGGUGAAACUGCGGGGCGAACUGCCUGGCUUGAGGUUGGUAGAGGUGCCUGGAACUCUAGGUGGAGCGGUGAAAUGCGUAGAUAUCUAGAGGAACACCAGAGGCGAAAGCGGGGCACUGGGCCAAUACUGACGCUGAGACGCGAAAGCGUGGGGAGCAAACAGG
RNAcentral lists this ribosomal RNA (253 nucleotides) under uncultured bacterium. RNAcentral describes it as "partial 16S ribosomal RNA". It matches the Rfam family "Bacterial small subunit ribosomal RNA", at positions 524 to 776 of the family's 1533-position model. The record is from RNAcentral.